Molecule: ribosomal RNA, 399 nt
Filed under: uncultured bacterium
Lineage: Bacteria
Description: bacterial SSU rRNA
Rfam family: Bacterial small subunit ribosomal RNA
Source: RNAcentral
GACGAACGCUGGCGGCGUGCUUAACACAUGCAAGUCGAGCGGUAAGGCCCUUUCGGGGGUACACGAGCGGCGAACGGGUGAGUAACACGUGGGUGACCUGCCCUCAGCUCUGGGAUAAGCCUGGGAAACCGGGUCUAAUACUGGAUAUGACUCCAUGACGCAUGUUGUGGGGUGGAAAGCCUUGUGCGGCUGAGGAUGGGCCCGCGGCCUAUCAGCUUGUUGGUGGGGUGAUGGCCUACCAAGGCGACGACGGGUAGCCGGCCUGAGAGGGCGACCGGCCACACUGGGACUGAGACACGGCCCAGACUCCUACGGGAGGCAGCAGUGGGGAAUCUUGCGCAAUGGGGCGAAAAGCCUGACGCAGCGACGCCGCGUGAGGGAUGACGGCCUCGGUGUAAC